CUACGUGCCAGCAGCCGCGGUAAUACGUAGGGUGCAAGCGUUGUCCGGAUUUACUGGGCGUAAAGAGCUCGUAGGUGGUGUGUCGCGUCGUCUGUGAAAUUCCGGGGCUUAACUCCGGGCGUGCAGGCGAUACGGGCACGACUAGAGUGCUGUAGGGGUAACUGGAAUUCCUGGUGUAGCGGUGAAAUGCGCAGAUAUCAGGAGGAACACCGAUGGCGAAGGCAGGUUACUGGGCAGUUACUGACGCUGAGGAGCGAAAGCAUGGGGAGCGAACAGGAUUAGAUACCCUGGUAGUCCAUGCUGUAAACGGUGGGCGCUAGGUGUGGGCUGUGUGUUUGCAGUCUGUGCCGUAGCUAACGCAUUAAGCGCCCCGCCUGGGGAGUACGGCCGCAAGGCUAAAACUCAAAGGAAUUGACGGGGGCCCGCACAAGCGGCGGAGCAUGUGGAUUAAUUCGAUGCAACGCGAAGAACCUUACCUGGGUUU
This 484-nucleotide ribosomal RNA is filed under the name uncultured bacterium. RNAcentral describes it as "bacterial SSU rRNA". It matches the Rfam family "Bacterial small subunit ribosomal RNA", at positions 501 to 982 of the family's 1533-position model. The record is from RNAcentral.